ANCCGCGNUAAUACNUACGGUGCAAGCGUUGUCCGGAAUUACUGGGCGUAAAGAGUUCGUANGCGGUUUGUCGCGUCGUUUGUGAAAACCAGCAGCUCAACUGCUGGCUUGCAUGCGAUNCNGNCAGACUUGANUACUGCAGGGGAAACUGGAAUUCCUGGUGUAUCGGUGAAAUGCGCACAUAUCAGGAGGAACACCGGUGGCGAANGCGGGUCUCUGGGCAGUAACUGACGCUNAGGAACGAAAGCGUGGGUAGCGAACAGGAUUAAAUACCCUGGUAGUCCACNCCGUAAACGGUGGNCGCUAGGUGUGGGUUCCUUCCACGGAAUCCGUGCCGUAGCUAACGCAUUAAGCGCCCCGCCUGGGGAGU
RNAcentral lists this ribosomal RNA (370 nucleotides) under uncultured bacterium. Its description in RNAcentral is "partial 16S ribosomal RNA". It matches the Rfam family "Bacterial small subunit ribosomal RNA", at positions 513 to 881 of the family's 1533-position model. The record is from RNAcentral.